GCUAGGCGUGGUGGUGCGUGCCUGUAAUCCCAGCUACUUGGGAGGCUGAGGCGGGAGAACUGCUUGAAUCUGGGAGGUGGAGGUUGCAAUGAGCCGAGAGUGUGCCACUGCACUCCAGCCUGGGAAAUAGAGUGAGACUCUGUCUCAAAAAAAAUCACAGUCUCACUCUGUUGCCCAGGCUGGAGUGCAGUGGCACAAUCUUGGCUCACUGCCAGCUCUGCCUCCCAGGCUCACGCCAUUCUACUGCCUCAG
RNAcentral lists this small RNA (252 nucleotides) under Pongo abelii (Sumatran orangutan). RNAcentral's name for it is "Metazoan signal recognition particle RNA (ENSPPYG00000037200.1)". Lineage: Eukaryota; Metazoa; Chordata; Mammalia; Primates; Hominidae. The record is from RNAcentral.